GAUGAAGAACGUAGCGAAAUGCGAUAAGUAAUGUGAAUUGCAGAAUUCCGUGAAUCAUCGAAUCUUUGAACGCACAUUGCGCCCUCUGGUAUUCCGGGGGGCAUGUCUGUCCGAGCGUCAUUGCUGCCCUCAAGCACGGCUUGUGUGUUGGGCCUCCGUCCUCCUCCCGGGGGACGGGCCCGAAAGGCAGCGGCGGCACCGCGUCCGGUCCUCGAGCGUAUGGGGCUUCGUCACCCGCUCUUGUAGGCCCGGCCGGCGCUUGCCGACACAUCAAUCUUUUUUCCAGGUUGACCUCGGAUCAGGUAGGGAUACCCGCUGAACUUAAGCAUAUCAAUAAGCGGAGGA
RNAcentral lists this unclassified non-coding RNA (345 nucleotides) under soil metagenome. Its description in RNAcentral is "partial contains 5.8S ribosomal RNA, internal transcribed spacer 2, and large subunit ribosomal RNA". The stretch from base 1 to 120 matches the Rfam family "5.8S ribosomal RNA", at positions 35 to 154 of the family's 154-position model. The record is from RNAcentral.